CCUCACAAAAAAAACAUCAGAAACAACUGCCUUCAUCUAAAUAUACAUAUAAACAAACAACAUUGAUAAUUGUGAAAAAAGUAUAAUUAAUUGUAUAUUUGUUUCCUUUUGUCAAAAAAGUAAAUUCCUAGCAUAGGCAAAUUUAGUUAGCCUCCUAAUUUUGUUAGAGUUUCCUUUUCCACAGUAUAAAUAACAAUGUAUUCUUCAAUAAAAUUAUCAUUACACUCUUCCACAUAGUAUCAGAGCCGUAAAAAUAAUAUUCCAGAAACUUUUUCGGACUUAAUUGCCAACAAGGCAAAAACUCUAAACCAGCCUUCAUGCCGGAAACAUUACACCUCACCAGCUGAAAUUCAUUGCCGACACUCACUGCCGCUCCACAGUGCCCAGCUGCACCCAGCCACUCGACCCAGCAGCACCCAGCAUCCUGCCACGCAUGUCCUUAGGGAAACAACCCUCACCAGGCCCCUUGUCUCUCACUAACCAAAAAUUCAACUUGUUCAUGAGGUUGUUUGGUUGAUCUUGAUCAGGGUUUAUCAAAACAGGCUUAAUGGCUAUGGCACUUCCCUGUGUUACCUCUCUCAAUAGGCAAAACUUGACAACUCUGAUCAUGUUUGUUCCAGGGUACAGAAAUGAUGCCUUUAUCGGAUGAUUCUGCUUUCUCAAAUAUUCCUAUUACAAACGUAGGUAUCUAUAAGCUAAAAGAAUGUGAAAGAGACGAGACUCAUUGGUAUCGUCAUUGAUAACUAGAAACUUACCCUUUUCCUUCUCUAGUAUUUGGUUUUUAUAUAGAUCACCAUCUCUCUUCAGCAGGUGACACAAUUGAUGCUUCUCCUCAAUCUGCUUACUUAUCUGGUCUCCCUGUCAACAUUUCUUCUAUUUCUUCCUAUGAUGCUUGUUCCUGGCCGACCUCCUCAAAAGUUCCUUCUUCCUCUAUUCUAACAUAUCAAAGGACAAGGCUGUGGAUUCAACUUUCUCCUCG
RNAcentral lists this long non-coding RNA (979 nucleotides) under Carica papaya (papaya). RNAcentral's name for it is "long non-coding RNA (CPAP_LNC013159)". The record is from RNAcentral. Lineage: Eukaryota; Viridiplantae; Streptophyta; Magnoliopsida; Brassicales; Caricaceae.